Molecule: small nuclear RNA, 86 nt
Filed under: Jaculus jaculus (lesser Egyptian jerboa)
Lineage: Eukaryota; Metazoa; Chordata; Mammalia; Rodentia; Dipodidae
Source: RNAcentral
CCUUUAAAAUUGGAAUAAUACAGAGAAGAUUAGCAUGGAGCCUGUGCAAGGAUGACACACAAAUUUGUGAAGUGUUCCAUAUUUGA